CAUUGUUGUGAUAGUUUAGCUUUGUUACAUGUUUCGUUGUAAGCUUCUUGGAUUAGGAGGGGAUGUUAAGUAAUAAUCCAAGUUAGCAGUAGUAGUUAGUUAGUGGGCCUGGUUAAAUGUAAAAGCCCAGUGGAGUGUGAGCCCAAGUUAUGGGUUGUAUAUAGCUGCAUAUUGCAGUGUUGUGUAACUAAUGAAUCAAUAAUCAGUUUUCAUUUGUUAUCUCUAAUAUUCCAGCACUCUCUCUUUCUCUCUCGUUCUGUUAUUCUUCUCUGAACUCCAACAGAGCUUCUUCACCUUCCACACUCCAUAUUCGAUUCUUCAUCUGAUCUGAUUCCAUGUUACCGAUCAAGGAGGAAGCUUGAAAUACCCAGUUCGUCGUCUUCCGAUCUUCGUAUUUCGUAGGGGAGGGACCAUUUUCGUUCAAUCUUUUCCGUCUUUCAUUUUGGUUCUCAUUCACCGAUCAAGGAACAAGGUUAAGGGAUACACUGACAGUCUCUCCCGACAAAUAAUUUUCAUAGGGUUCGAUAUUAUGAUCUUGGCUUUUGAGGGAUAUCUUGGCUGUUGAUUGCAUUUUGGUGGGCUUUAGCUUCUGCUGCAUAAGCAUACCUCCUGUUGUUUUCUGUCCUUCGAGUGUGACAAUUAGUCAGAUGCAUUGUUCCUGCCUUUCUGCAUAAUUUGCAUUUUGCCGUGCAGAGUCUUGUUACUUGGUGGGGGUACUGGAGAAUAAAAUUGGUUGGGGUGAUUGUUUGUGUAUUUGUUUGUUGGGUAGUUGGGUUAUAUCCCAUUAUGUGGUCUGGAAGGUGAUUUAAUAGUAGAUGGGUAAGGCCUCAUAAUCUCUUAGUUUGGAGGGGUGUGUCUCAUAUUGGUACUUUUGUAUUAUCUUACUUUUCAGUUUUGUCCCCUUUCUCUCUUUUACUAUGUAUUAUGGGUUGGAGUACCCCUUGUACUCCCUUUAAUACAUUCUUUGCCUAUCAA
Molecule: long non-coding RNA, 975 nt
Organism: Lotus japonicus
Lineage: Eukaryota; Viridiplantae; Streptophyta; Magnoliopsida; Fabales; Fabaceae
Exons: 2
Source: RefSeq, a predicted model, not a curated record